RNAcentral lists this ribosomal RNA (1016 nucleotides) under Phocaeicola vulgatus. RNAcentral describes it as "partial 16S ribosomal RNA". Lineage: Bacteria; Pseudomonadati; Bacteroidota; Bacteroidia; Bacteroidales; Bacteroidaceae. The record is from RNAcentral.
CCAUUGUAACACGUGUGUAGCCCCGGACGUAAGGGCCGUGCUGAUUUGACGUCAUCCCCACCUUCCUCACAUCUUACGAUGGCAGUCUUGUCAGAGUCCUCAGCGGAACCUGUUAGUAACUGACAACAAGGGUUGCGCUCGUUAUGGCACUUAAGCCGACACCUCACGGCACGAGCUGACGACAACCAUGCAGCACCUUCACAGAUGCCUUGCGGCUUACGGCUUUCACCGUAAUUCAUCUGCAAUUUAAGCCCGGGUAAGGUUCCUCGCGUAUCAUCGAAUUAAACCACAUGUUCCUCCGCUUGUGCGGGCCCCCGUCAAUUCCUUUGAGUUUCACCGUUGCCGGCGUACUCCCCAGGUGGAAUACUUAACGCUUUCGCUUGGCCGCUUGCAGUAUAUCGCAAACAGCGAGUAUUCAUCGUUUACCGUGUGGACUACCAGGGUAUCUAAUCCUGUUUGAUACCCACACUUUCGAGCCUCAAUGUCAGUUGCAGCUUAGCAGGCUGCCUUCGCAAUCGGAGUUCUUCGUGAUAUCUAAGCAUUUCACCGCUACACCACGAAUUCCGCCUGCCUCAACUGCACUCAAGAUAUCCAGUAUCAACUGCNAAUUUUACGGUUGAGCCGCAAACUUUCACAACUGACUUAAACAUCCAUCUACGCUCCCUUUAAACCCAAUAAAUCCGGAUAACGCUCGGAUCCUCCGUAUUACCGCGGCUGCUGGCACGGAGUUAGCCGAUCCUUAUUCAUAAAGUACAUGCAAACGGGUAUCCAUACCCGACUUUAUUCCUUUAUAAAAGAAGUUUACAACCCAUAGGGCAGUCAUCCUUCACGCUACUUGGCUGGUUCAGGCUCUCGCCCAUUGACCAAUAUUCCUCACUGCUGCCUCCCGUAGGAGUUUGGACCGUGUCUCAGUUCCAAUGUGGGGGACCUUCCUCUCAGAACCCCUAUCCAUCGAAGACUAGGUGGGCCGUUACCCCGCCUACUAUCUAAUGGAACGCAUCCCCAUCGUCUACCGG